RNAcentral lists this small RNA (27 nucleotides) under Bombyx mori (domestic silkworm). RNAcentral's name for it is "ovarian small RNA-36148". The record is from RNAcentral. Lineage: Eukaryota; Metazoa; Arthropoda; Insecta; Lepidoptera; Bombycidae.
UGUUGAAGUCUUUUUAGGGCCACUAUA